UGAGGACCCGAAAGCCGGGCGCGGGGAGAUGACCGGUGGCUCGUGACGGUCCCACGGGCAAAAUCUUCCAUCGCCCGGGGCUGAGACUUGUCAAACUGCCCUCUACGGUCACCCGGAAAGUAGGAGGCUUUUUCUGCAGAGGGAAAAAAAUCAAAAAGAGCCGUUCCAUCCCCCCUCCAAGGACUGGGUUUGAAUUGCUUUUCAUCUGCAGUGGCUGUGAUUCAGCGUCCCUCUUAGCAGCAGGCACUGACAGAGGCAGGAGAGGAAAAAAGAAAGAAAGAAAGAGAAAACACAGCAAAUGAAUCAAACGGACGUAGCAGGCAAGAGUGUGGUUAUCGUUGGACCAGGAUUCAGGAUCUGACCGAGUAGCUGACUCUUAAUCCAGUUUGUGUUGAUCACCAGGAGGAUCUGGACCUCAGUGUUAUCACAUCUAAAGGAAAGGAGCCUAACUAGAGUCAGU
This 460-nucleotide long non-coding RNA is filed under the name Pan troglodytes (chimpanzee). RNAcentral's name for it is "long non-coding RNA NONPTRT003544". The record is from RNAcentral. Lineage: Eukaryota; Metazoa; Chordata; Mammalia; Primates; Hominidae.